UUUUCUUUUUCUUUUUUCUUUUAUUCAUUCAUUAUAUAUCUUUGUUUUUAAUUAUAGAUAGGACUGAUUAAUUUUGUGUGGUGAACUGCAUUGAAAGCAAAUAAAAGACAAUAAAUA
RNAcentral lists this non-coding RNA (117 nucleotides) under Fragilariopsis kerguelensis. The record is from RNAcentral. Lineage: Eukaryota; Bacillariophyta; Bacillariophyceae; Bacillariales; Bacillariaceae.